AGCUGUGAUGAGUAGGAUGUAGUAUGAGCUGGUAUUGCAAGGGUUAAACCUGCAUUGACCAGUAAAGGAUCAUGUGAUCUUCUCUCUGAGCUG
Molecule: small nucleolar RNA, 93 nt
Organism: Hyla sarda
Lineage: Eukaryota; Metazoa; Chordata; Amphibia; Anura; Hylidae
Product: Z30 small nucleolar RNA
Exons: 1
Source: RefSeq, a predicted model, not a curated record